RNAcentral lists this RNase P RNA (430 nucleotides) under Patescibacteria group bacterium. RNAcentral's name for it is "RNase P RNA component class A". It matches the Rfam family "Bacterial RNase P class A". From Rfam's summary of the family: Ribonuclease P (RNase P) is a ubiquitous endoribonuclease, found in archaea, bacteria and eukarya as well as chloroplasts and mitochondria. Its best characterised activity is the generation of mature 5'-ends of tRNAs by cleaving the 5'-leader elements of precursor-tRNAs. The record is from RNAcentral.
UUGGAAUGCCGGACGGCUACGCCCCGACGUCAUGUCGGGGUGAGGAAAGUCCGAACACCCCUUGGGCCGCAAGGUCCUUUGAAAAGGAGCGUCGCUAACGGCGACCAGGUAUGUCGGUGGGGUUUAAACGCGUUGGAGAAAUUCACGCGUUUGCCUCUCAUCGUAAGCCUAGGGAAAGUGCCACAGAGACUAUACUAUCCCCCGUCGCUCCUCACGGAGCCAUGGGGGAGAAAGGUGAAAAGAUCGCGGAAGUCGCAAGGCUACCGCGUAGGCCCCAUGGCGACAUGGGCGCGUGGAAAACCCGCUCCGGUGCAAGAGCAAGUUUGGUAGCUCGCUAGAACCUGGCGGCAACGCCAGGACCAGAGAGAUGGCCGUCUCCGCCCCGCAAGGGACGACAGACAAAAUUCGGCUUACAGGCAUCUCCCGGGAC